GCCGAUGUAGCUCAGUGGUAGAGCAGCGGUAUCGUAAACCGUAGAUGGCAGUUCGAUUCUGCCCAUCGGCUCCA
RNAcentral lists this transfer RNA (74 nucleotides) under Candidatus Blackburnbacteria bacterium RIFCSPHIGHO2_01_FULL_40_17. Its description in RNAcentral is "tRNA-Thr". It matches the Rfam family "tRNA". Rfam says of the family: Transfer RNA (tRNA) molecules are approximately 80 nucleotides in length. Their secondary structure includes four short double-helical elements and three loops (D, anti-codon, and T loops). The record is from RNAcentral. Lineage: Bacteria; Candidatus Blackburniibacteriota. RNAcentral also lists the same sequence under 3 other names.